RNAcentral lists this ribosomal RNA (497 nucleotides) under uncultured bacterium. RNAcentral's name for it is "partial 16S ribosomal RNA". It matches the Rfam family "Bacterial small subunit ribosomal RNA", at positions 28 to 507 of the family's 1533-position model. The record is from RNAcentral.
GACGAACGCUGGCGGCGUGCCUAAUACAUGCAAGUUGAGCGCUGAAGGUUGGUACUUGUACCGACUGGAUGAGCAGCGAACGGGUGAGUAACGCGUGGGGAAUCUGCCUUUGAGCGGGGGACAACAUUUGGAAACGAAUGCUAAUACCGCAUAAAAACUUUAAACACAAGUUUUAAGUUUGAAAGAUGCAAUUGCAUCACUCAAAGAUGAUCCCGCGUUGUAUUAGCUAGUUGGUGAGGUAAAGGCUCACCAAGGCGAUGAUACAUAGCCGACCUGAGAGGGUGAUCGGCCACAUUGGGACUGGGACACGGCCCAAACUCCUACGGGAGGCAGCAGUAGGGAAUCUUCGGCAAUGGACGAAAGUCUGACCGAGCAACGCCGCGUGAGUGAAGAAGGGUUUCGGAUCGUAAAACUCUGUUGGUAGAGAAGAACGUUGGUGAGAGUGGAAAGCUCAUCAAGUGACGGUAACUACCCAGAAAGGGACGGCUAACUACGUG